Molecule: long non-coding RNA, 1524 nt
Filed under: Homo sapiens (human)
Lineage: Eukaryota; Metazoa; Chordata; Mammalia; Primates; Hominidae
Description: HSALNT0367542
Source: RNAcentral
AAAAGAGAUCCCGUCUCUUAGAAAAAAAAGUCUAAAAACCCCAAACAAAAGCAAUCGCAUAGACUAGUCUUAGGAGUUCACUACCUUGAUAACAGCGCUAGAGAUACUCAGACACUGAGCCCUUUCUAAAAUAAUGUAGACGUGUAUCAAAGACCAGACAGUUUUAUUGUUCUUUUCAGCAAUUCCUCAUAGAUGGUGUUCUUAAUUUCCUUAUACAUAUAUGAAUCAGAACCCACCCCCCAACCCCCUUGUUUUCUUUUUCCUGGGCUUGGAGCAAGAGGCAAUUGCACUGGUGACUCUCCACAAUGACAUGAGUUCUCAGUUGUUCCAUGAAAGAUUAUUACAGUGCAACUACAAGAACAGCACAAUAAGAGAAAUGGUUCUCACCUCUUUGAUCUACAGAAACAUGUAGACCUCCAGGGCUUAACAGAAAAAUUUUCCUGGAACUCCUAAACUUUAGGCAUAAGACCCAAAUAACUUCAUUCCUAGCCUUUUAGUUUGUACCCAGGUAUCACAAACUUAUUUACAAAGUUUAUUCUGACCUAUGCAAAUAAAAUUGGGCACUUUAUUAAAACUUCUUUGAAUCUAUUACUCAUGAAUAAAACAUGAAAAAUACUCAUACUGAUGGAUAACACUUUACACAACACUGAAUCAACUCCCCUUUGCUUGCCUCCUCCUAAAGGACUGGCUUAAUUUCAGUAGUAGAACCCAAACAUGAAUCAAUCUCAUGACUAAGCAUUAACUAUGCAUCCAUUUAGCAAAUGAAAGUUUAUUUUAGCAUUUGAAAUUCUGUGGUUCUUCAGGAAUAUAGCCAGAUAAAUGAUUUUUACUAACAAAUGCAACUAACACCAUUUCAUCUCCUCUCUAGGAAUGACUGAAGACUCUUGACUAUCAUCUAUUCAGCACCUGGAAGCAUUACCUUUUUGUAAUACGAAAAGAAAAACAGCUGAAAGAAAGAAAAUAUACUUGUCCCUUCAAAUAUAGAUCAUAUAAUCAAAUACACCUUAAUUCACUGCAACAAGAAACAAAACAAGAGCAACCCACUGCAACCAUAGACUGGCUGCCAGAAGUACCAGAUGACUGGAACAUUAGCUGGGUUCGGUGGAGUGUGCCUGUUCUACCAGCUACUUGGGAAGCUAAGGCAGGAGAACUGCUUGAGCCUGGGAGGCGGAGGUUAGAACCCAGUGCAAGCACUUGCAGACAUUCAAACUGGAGUGAAGGCUAGAGGAGGAAAGUUAAAUCUCUUCUAAGGAAGGUGUGAUGUGCGAAUACAAACUCUUAACUUCUGCUGCCACUUAAUAACUCUGAGGGAAGCCACCAGAAGAGAAGUCAACAGUGCAUAAAGGUUGCGCCUAAACAGCUGCAGUGAAAUGAAGCUGGAGCCACGUUCAAAUUACACCCUGAACACAUGCCCCCAAAAACUCCUUUUAAAUUUUGUGAACCAGCCAAAUUCCUUUAUCUCCUCUUUGACCUAUAAACCACAGCAUUCUAACUGAUAGAGAACUCCAAAGGCUGAUUCAACCU